CAAAUAUUAGUAAGUAUUUCUAUUUGCCCAUAUGAAAAAUCUCACGCCUAAACCCAACAUCCUCCUCCUCCUCCUCCUCCAUCUUCUCAUUUUGACUCAUACAUUCUACAUUGUAACCAGUUCGUCAUUUUUCAAAUGUUGUUGUCACUCCACAUUUUUAUUACUUUAAUGGAUGGUUGUGAUUUCCCUAAUUUUUCUUUACCUUCAUCUGAGAAACUGGAGUAAUAGGUGGAAUAAUUUCAACAUUGUUUGGAGGAAGAAGGGAUACUACGGUAGUCAAUACUUUGUUCGCAUAUAUUCGAGAAAUGGGAGAAACAGUUUGAAGAAUUUCGACAUUGUUUUGAGAAAUUAGGGGAUUUACGGGUGUGGAUACUUGGGAGAUUUACGGGUCUGGAUAUGGGUUCUAACGACGAAGACAGAUUCAAUCACUAUGCUCAUAAAUGGAGACUUUCCUCUGUUCAUUAGUUUGCCUGGUUGAUGAUGAUUAUGCAAAGAUUGGGUUGGAGGUGGCUACUAGCUUUAUUAUCCAUACCAUCAUUUGUAGAACCUUUUGUUAUUUGUGUAUCGGUUUCACAUCAAUCACUACUUUCUAAAACCUUUUGAGGGUUAAUUCCUGUUUUGUUUCUCUCAGAAUUUAGAAAUUGAUCUUGCUGGAAGUCAGGAAUCCUCAGACAAAUAGCUUGUUGGAGUACUGAUGACAUUUUCAAAUAAGGUUAUGUGCUGCAUUUUGAGUUCCUAUUCGUGUGGAAGCCACAGACAAAUAACUCUUUUGCAUCUACCUAUUUUGUAAUGGUUAUAUUUUCUUUAUUUUCAUUUGUGUAAAACUCUUGUUUUAAUCUAUUGUUAGUUUAUUUACAAUACUAGUGAAUCUAUCCAAAUCAAAAUUAUUAUUUU
Long non-coding RNA from Solanum pennellii, 894 nucleotides. RefSeq lists it as uncharacterized. The transcript is spliced from 3 exons. Lineage: Eukaryota; Viridiplantae; Streptophyta; Magnoliopsida; Solanales; Solanaceae. The record is from RefSeq and is a predicted model, not a curated record.